Molecule: long non-coding RNA, 1110 nt
Organism: Micropterus dolomieu (smallmouth bass)
Lineage: Eukaryota; Metazoa; Chordata; Actinopteri; Centrarchiformes; Centrarchidae
Exons: 2
Source: RefSeq, a predicted model, not a curated record
UGUCCCUGGUGGGACACUUAAUAUGCUGUCUGUACUUUGGAAAUUCGUCGGCCAGGUGCAGUAACGCCUCACUAACACAGGCCUGAGGUGGAAUGUAAACAGUGACCAGCACAAACGACGAAAACUCCCGCGAUGAAUAAGGGAUGGCAGAAAACAGAAUUUAUAAACAAAAACACAAAAAGCAUUACGCAGCGUAAUCCAGAGGCGACUGUCUGCUGCGCCAUCUAGGCUGGAAUAAGACUUUCUGUGGCUCUCCGAAACGAACCAUCCUACUGGAUGACAUUGAGGACGUGGAGGAUGAAGAGGAUCUGCAGGACUACCUGGAGAUCCACUUUCAGAAGCCCAGCAACUAUGGUGGUGAGAUAGAGAGCAUCAAAUACAUCUCCAGGGGCAAGACUCUGCAGGCCUAUUUUCUCAGUGAGGACAACUGACUGACAGCAAGUUUUCCUUACAUCUACCACGUGUAAGGAAAGUAAAAAGAGCCCCUCCCUAUCCACUGGGAAUCUUUCUCCUAUGAUUUUUAGAAAUAGAAAAUCAUAUUUGUUACGUGUUUUGCAUUAUUUCAAAGAAUUCUGUAUAUUUCUUGUGCCUAAUUUGAAGGAAUGCUUUGUGGAAAAUUCACUUAUGUGCUGUCAUGCUUAGUCAGAUGAGACGACCUAGUGAUUUAAUCUUUGUGCAUUCAGUAGUGGGUAUGAAUUUGAUUUGGUGAGGGGUAUUUAGGUAGUAGUAAGUGGCAAAACAAAGGCCAACUAUAAGACAGGACAAAUAAUCUAAAUCUACAAAAUAAUGUCAUAAUAAAUAUUAUUCUAGACAGGUUUUGGUGGUUUACAGAAUUACACAUCUGUCAUGUGACUAAUGGCUAUUUAUUCUUAUUUGUUUGAUUAUUUCAGUGAUUUGGAUGCAUGUCUGCCCAUUCCUUUUAGAAUACUUUGUAACAUGAAGGCAGUCCUGAUAUAGUCUAAUAGUUGCUUCAGUAAGAACUUUCCAGAGUUGUAAAAUCCUGUCUGUGAGUAUAAGAAAACGCAGUGUUUUGUGUCUGUAAAUCCUUGAAAUUAACAGACGUGUUACUGACACUGGACAUCUAUACAAUAUUAAAAAUAAUGGAAUCUA